UUGCACCUUUCAAGCGAGUGGCGAACGGGUGAGUAACACGUGGAUAACCUGCCUCAAGGCUGGGGAUAACAUUUGGAAACAGAUGCUAAUACCGAAUAAAACUUAGUAUCGCAUGAUAUAAAGUUAAAAGGCGCUACGGCGUCACCUAGAGAUGGAUCCGCGGUGCAUUAGUUAGUUGGUGGGGUAAAGGCUUACCAAGACAAUGAUGCAUAGCCGAGUUGAGAGACUGAUCGGCCACAUUGGGACUGAGACACGGCCCAAACUCCUACGGGAGGCUGCAGUAGGGAAUCUUCCACAAUGGGCGCAAGCCUGAUGGAGCAACGCCGCGUGUGUGAUGAAGGCUUUCGGGUCGUAAAGCACUGUUGUAUGGGAAGAAAUGCUAAAAUAGGGAAUGAUUUUAGUUUGACGGUACCAUACCAGAAAGGGACGGCUAAAUACGUGCCAGCAGCCGCGGUAAUACGUAUGUCCCGAGCGUUAUCCGGAUUUAUUGGGCGUAAAGCGAGCGCAGACGGUUGAUUAAGUCUGAUGUGAAAGCCCGGAGCUCAACUCCGGAAUGGCAUUGGAAACUGGUUAACUUGAGUGUUGUAGAGGUAAGUGGAACUCCAUGUGUAGCGGUGGAAUGCGUAGAUAUAUGGAAGAACACCAGUGGCGAAGGCGGCUUACUGGACAACAACUGACGUUGAGGCUCGAAAGUGUGGGUAGCAAACAGGAUUAGAUACCCUGGUAGUCCACACCGUAAACGAUGAAUACUAGGUGUUAGGAGGUUUCCGCCUCUUAGUGCCGAAGCUAACGCAUUAAGUAUUCCGCCUGGGGAGUACGACCGCAAGGUUGAAACUCAAAGGAAUUGACGGGGACCCGCACAAGCGGUGGAGCAUGUGGUUUAAUUCGAAGCAACGCGAAGAACCUUACCAGGUCUUGACAUCCUUUGAAGCUUUUAGAGAUAGAAGUGUUCUCUUCGGAGACAAAGUGACAGGUGGUGCAUGGUCGUCGUCAGCUCGUGUCGUGAGAUGUUGGGUUAAGUCCCGCAACGAGCGCAACCCUUAUUGUUAGUUGCCAGCAUUCAGUUGGGCACUCUAGCGAGACUGCCGGUGACAAACCGGAGGAAGGCGGGGACGACGUCAGAUCAUCAUGCCCCUUAUGACCUGGGCUACACACGUGCUACAAUGGCGUAUACAACGAGUUGCCAACCUGCGAAGGUGAGCUAAUCUCUUAAAGUACGUCUCAGUUCGGACUGCAGUCUGCAACUCGACUGCACGAAGUCGGAAUCGCUAGUAAUCGCGGAUCAGCACGCCGCGGUGAAUACGUUCCCGGGUCUUGUACACACCGCCCGUCACACCAUGGGAGUUUGUA
Molecule: ribosomal RNA, 1350 nt
Filed under: Leuconostoc citreum
Lineage: Bacteria; Bacillati; Bacillota; Bacilli; Lactobacillales; Lactobacillaceae
Description: bacterial SSU rRNA
Rfam family: Bacterial small subunit ribosomal RNA
Source: RNAcentral